Molecule: unclassified non-coding RNA, 663 nt
Filed under: Hevea brasiliensis (rubber tree)
Lineage: Eukaryota; Viridiplantae; Streptophyta; Magnoliopsida; Malpighiales; Euphorbiaceae
Source: RNAcentral
GUCUCUCCUCAUCAUCUCGAAGCACUGCAGUUCUGAUCCGUUCUGUAAGAACAAGGACAACCAUUGCAGGGUUGUUAUUGCUUGCAUAUUAACUGUAGUUUUUGAAAGAGGAACACGAUAACCAGGGCUUACAUGCGUGGAAUAGCUGCAUUAUUAUUGCCAAUUAAAUACAAAUUCAAACAAGUCUACCCUGUGGCAGGAUCAUGGGGUACCGUCGCUACUUCAACUCCAAAGAAACAAGAGAACAAUGAUUCGGGAGCAGGGACGCGAGUUUUGAAUGAAAAGACAGAUCCUAUUGCUGCCUUCAGCAGACCACCUUCACUCCCACCUGUUCUUGGACCGCUGGUGGCUCUCUCAUUGUUCGAAAUGUGGUCAAGCCAUGAUGGUGAUGAUGACUGAUUGACAAUGCAAAGCCAUAUCUACCGUUUAUGUACGUAAGGAUCUUUGUAGUGUUUCCUGCCUGAUGUAUUUCUUUGAAAUGUUGAUUAGCAUGCUUAUAGCAAUGAUAAACAGUCGAGCCAUGAAAUACCAAAUUCUGAUUCUGAUGUAGCCUGCUGGAAGUGGAUGGAUAAUAGUUGUCAAGAGUCUAGGGUAAAUCUUCAUUAAAAACUGUACUAUGGCAUGAUGACUCUUUAGGAAUCCUGCAGAAAAGAAAGAAUGACG